Molecule: non-coding RNA, 447 nt
Organism: Doryrhamphus excisus (bluestripe pipefish)
Lineage: Eukaryota; Metazoa; Chordata; Actinopteri; Syngnathiformes; Syngnathidae
Source: RefSeq, a predicted model, not a curated record
CUUGGCUUCCGGUUCAGUGACGCCGUGGUUCGGUUCGGGGAAAGUUUGCGUCCUUUUCAGUAACAUUUAGGGCAAAUUCAGCCAUUCUGUCACAUGACUUCUGGUUUUUGACCAUCUAAAAUUAAGAAUGUUCAAAAAGGCGCAAUGCAUGAAGUUGACUCCCUGUCUUCUACCCCCUUUCUGCUAAACUAACAUUUGGGGCAGAUUCAGCCAUUCUGUCACAUGACUUCUGGUUUUUGAUCGCCUAAAAUUAAGAAUGUUCAAAAAGUUGCGAUGCAUGAAGUUGACUCCCCGUCUCCUACUCCCUUUCCGCUAAAUUAACAUUUAGGGAAGAUUCAGCCAUUCUCCCAUGUGACUUCUGGUUUUUGACCAUCUAAAAUUAAGAAUGUUCAAAAAGGCGCAAUGCAUGAAGUUGACUCCUUGUCUUCUACCACCUUUCCGUUAAAC